AUGUUUCACUGUUCUCAGAAAUUAAGUCCUAUACUGCCUGUUGUCCAAUGUCUGAAAACAGUUGUCUUGUGUUUUGCCUGGUUUUCUAGUUGUUCCUCUAUCAUAGAUGGAAUCCAUAAUAAAUAUGAUGCCAAUGCCAAAAUCUGCUACUAUAUUACUCUUUAAAGCAGAGACUGUAUAGGAAGAGGAAAAAAGAAAUCAGUGUAACCGUGGGGGCAAGGCAGGAAGCAUUCUGUUUAUGUAACACAGACGUGGCAUUCUUUACUUUCUAACUUAGGACAUUUGUGAUUUGAAGAAGAGACACCUGAAUUUUCAAUAUGUUAGUCUUUGUUGGAAUAAUUGGCUCUUCUCAUUCUUUAGUCAUCAAAUAAUACUUAUUAAAUACCAACUAAGUGCUUUGUGCCCUGCUAGGCAUUACUUCUCUUUAUUCUACUUCUUAACAGUUGGAAUAUGCCAAACAAAUGAAAUAAAAAUAGUUUUCCUAUUCUAGUUACAGGUUGGAUUCUUGGAUUUAUCUCCCAAGCUUUGACAUUCAGAAACUGAAAGUGGAAUAUAGUGUAUUCUCAGAUGUAAAGUUGAUCUCAUUUCCUCACUGGCCAUCUGUUUAUUUGCGUCUAAGAAUAACAAAACUUUCAUAGUCAUAUCUGUAUUUUUUAAUUACUAAAAAUAAUGAAUGGACUGAACCAUGCUUGCCCCACUUUUGAAACAAUUCCUUCUAUAGACUGUUGCAGUAGGAAGCUAAUACCCCUGAUUAAGAAUAAAGACCAGACCUACAUAAGCAUAUGUUGUAUUGGUGUAUCUGAAGUCAUGAGGAUGUGAUUAAUGGUCCUUAAGAGUUUUAAUUUGGCGUGUCUUAAUGCCUAAAUCUCACUUAAGCUUGGUUGCAAAGCCUGGCAAAUCAGUCUUCUGUACAUGGCAAGCUAAGAUGUGGCACCAUCUUCUUGAGGUUUCAUAUCCUAAACCUGUCUGUCCUUACAGGUUAAAUUCAAAGGAUAGGGCCAAGCUUGAUUUGCUGUAGUCAUAGUGAAUCAUCACAGAUCCAUUCUUAGUGCAGAAGAGUUAAAUAAUUCCUUGGCCAAGAGCAUGGUGCCUUCCCCAGACCAAUUUCUAACAGUGUCCUCUGUUAGAUCUUUAAGUUAAUAAAUUCUUUUAUUAGAUUUUUGGGUCAGAAAAACAGACUAUGCUUGUACUCAGGAGCCCAGAAAUACAUAAUAUAAUUGACUAAUUCCUGUCUUUGAGGUCUUAACGUGGUUUCAUGUGCCUUUUGAUUUGUUUUUACAUGUGGAUCAUUUUCCCUUAACACUUUAAUAUGAUACAAUUUUUGUCUAUCGUUUUUCUUAAAUAGGAGGGAGAAAAUUUUUUUUAGUAGGAAAAUAUCUGGUGGUAAGUGGCAUCUUUUUAUUCCAUGUGGGAUGCAGAAGUUUCUCCCAAAAACUGAAGUGACCUGCUUUUUGCAGAUAGGACCCCUGUAUUUCUCCCAUAUUACUUUAUAGCUGGUAGAUGGUAGGGCUGUACACAGCAAAUGGGUUUGAAUGCAUGAUGGUUUUCUGGUGGAGCUGAGAUAAUUAGUAUUAUGAAGCCACGCUUCUGAUUGUGAGAAUGAGAAC
Molecule: long non-coding RNA, 1607 nt
Filed under: Homo sapiens (human)
Lineage: Eukaryota; Metazoa; Chordata; Mammalia; Primates; Hominidae
Description: non-protein coding lnc-AFG1L-5:1
Source: RNAcentral